GUCAAUUUAAUCCAUUUUAGAAUAAGGUGCCAACGUAACAAAAUGUGGGAAAAGUCAAGGGGUCAGAAUACUUUCCAAAUGCACUGUGUAUAGUGCACUACAUGGGAAGUAGGGUGCAAUUUGGAACGGACCCUACUUUGUCUUAGCUAAAAAUGAUUUCGCUGGGUAGUGAAGUUUUAGUAACGCAUUCAGAAGAAGUGUGCAAAGAGCUUUUGUCCGCAUGUCCAUCAGCUGUUAAAUGGCGGUCCUAGAAGUCUGAACUCAAGAGUUUGAUAUCACACCAUUUUUAUUACAUGAAUGUCACUUUUGAUUUGUCUUGCCUUCCGGGGUAAAAACCCACUUGGUCAAUAUUAUUUUCUGGAUCUACUACAUGGACCUAUCUCAUUGUUAUUACAUGAUUAGAGAUCUGUUUUGUUUUGUUACACCCACCAUGCAUCAUGUCCGCGAUGGUCAUGUGAGGUGAAAUGUGUAUUUUUUGGGGGAUGUGAGCACUCAGUUUGUUUUGACCUGGCGAAGAUCUGUUUAGGAUCGAAGCGUUGUCCAUAAUGAAUGAAUUGGCAGCUUUAACAGUGUGCGGGCGUUCUUCUUCUGUACCAGUAAUCUUUUAUUAGCCCAGCGCCUGUGUUUUUAAGUAUGUGCGUAUGAACAUAAAAUAAAAUGACUAUUGAUGA
Molecule: non-coding RNA, 671 nt
Organism: Oncorhynchus mykiss (rainbow trout)
Lineage: Eukaryota; Metazoa; Chordata; Actinopteri; Salmoniformes; Salmonidae
Source: RefSeq, a predicted model, not a curated record